Molecule: ribosomal RNA, 468 nt
Filed under: uncultured bacterium
Lineage: Bacteria
Description: partial 16S ribosomal RNA
Rfam family: Bacterial small subunit ribosomal RNA
Source: RNAcentral
GACGAACGCUGGCGGCGUGCUUAACACAUGCAAGUCGAACGGAAAGGCCCUGCUUUUGUGGGGUGCUCGAGUGGCGAACGGGUGAGUAACACGUGAGUAACCUGCCCUUGACUUUGGGAUAACUUCAGGAAACUGGGGCUAAUACCGGAUAGGAGCUCCUGCUGCAUGGUGGGGGUUGGAAAGUUUCGGCGGUUGGGGAUGGACUCGCGGCUUAUCAGCUUGUUGGUGGGGUAGUGGCUUACCAAGGCUUUGACGGGUAGCCGGCCUGAGAGGGUGACCGGCCACAUUGGGAGUGAGAUACGGCCCAGACUGCUACGGGAGGAAGCAGUGGGGAAUAUUGCACAAUGGGCGGAAGCCUGAUGCAGCAACGCCGCGUGCGGGAUGACGGCCUACGGGUUGUAAACCGCUUUCGCCUGUGACGAAGCGUGAGUGACGGUAAUGGGUAAAGAAGCACCGGCUAACUACGUG